UAUCACAACAAGAAAUUUCUCACCCAACAGGUUCUUCUACUAGUUUCUCUCGCUUCAGAGUCUGCGCCUUGAAAUCAUAAAGAUUUUCAAAAAAUGUCAAACUGAAGGAUUUUCAGGUUUGGAUCAUCUCCAACGCUCUCGGUCAAGUCAGUCCAGUAUUGCAUGAAUGCCGACAAAGACAAGACAUCUGUUGAAACACUGAGGAUGAACAUAAGAUGUAAUACUGUGGUUUUGCUCUUUUGGG
Non-coding RNA from Misgurnus anguillicaudatus (oriental weatherfish), 244 nucleotides. The record is from RefSeq and is a predicted model, not a curated record. Lineage: Eukaryota; Metazoa; Chordata; Actinopteri; Cypriniformes; Cobitidae.